RNAcentral lists this ribosomal RNA (800 nucleotides) under Oscheius sp. TEL-2014. RNAcentral describes it as "eukaryotic LSU rRNA". The stretch from base 387 to 537 matches the Rfam family "5.8S ribosomal RNA". The record is from RNAcentral. Lineage: Eukaryota; Metazoa; Nematoda; Chromadorea; Rhabditida; Rhabditidae.
GACCCCAUAUCUAUUUGAUUUCGGCGAGUAUCAGUCGCUUAUGGGAUCGAGCCUUGGGUUUGGUCCUUCUGAUACUUGCCUUGUGCAGCAUAACGUGAGGUGUUCGUUCAUUCGUCUGGCGGAGUUAUGCGACCGCAGCUCUGGUGUCUUCGGAUGCUGUGCAACAGAUGGAUUCUGCAGUCGAGCUUCGGCUUGGUUGUGGUUCGGCGAACUUCAAGUGUAGUGGCUUCGACUACCGCCUCGCAACCUUUGCUGGCUAUAUACCGUCCGUUGGCGAUGGAAGCCUCAAUGACUUCGGGCCUUCCCUUCCGGGUUGGCUUGGAGCGGCAAAACCCCUUUCCUUUCACUUAACUAAUUUUUGGCUUGUUCGAGAGAACAUAUCUUACUACCCGUUGGGAUGGAUCGGUCGAUUCGCAUAUCGAUGAACAACGGAGCUAGCUCCGUUAUUUACCACGAAUUGCAGACGCUUUGAGUGGUGAAACUUGGAACGCAUAGCGCCGUCGGGUUUUUCCCGUCGGCACGUCUGGUUCAGGGUUGUUUUCUUAACUGUCGACACUUCGGUGCUGGCUUGUCGAGGGGCUAUGUGCUUCGGUACGUACCCUCUCUAGUCAAGAAAGUAAAGCAACAUGAGUCUUCGGACUCGCUAUAGGUGUGCUCGUGAACGUGCAUUGCCGUCGGCUUCAACCGCUUCAAAUGGUGAAGAGUCGUCGGUCGCUUAUGAUGCCGUUCUGAGCUUGCGCCUUGUCUUAGCAACCUGAGCUCAGUCGUGAUUACCCGCUGAACUAACAUAAUGAAUAUAA